GUUUUACGCGAUUUCAUGUGACCGACGCUGUAUCCAUGUGCUGAUUUUCCAGACUCCGAAAGUAACAUCAUUGCAGAUGAUUGUGGUGAUCGAGAUUUGAGCGAUCAAUGGAACAACCCUAGCCAGAGGAGCUCCGUGGUGUGGGCGUCCGCCCGAGAGGAUGGGCAAGUUUUGAUGGACGUGGAUGAAGAAGAGGAAUCAUGGGUCAACAGCGGCAGCGGGGACUUGAGUAAGGAGGAAAUGGAUGCCAUGGAGGACAAGGUGUUUUGGGAAACUUGCAUGGCCAUAGGUUACCCAUGAAUUGGAAGCCUGUUAUCUCUUUUGUCAAUCUUCGCCAAAAUUUCGAAUCAAACUUUACACAAAAGGAGUACAACACAUAGAAUUUAGUCGUGGAUAUGUAAAAAGAAAAACUGUGGAAUGCUCAAGGAACAAUGUUGUAUUAUGUUA
Eucalyptus grandis is the source of this 447-nucleotide long non-coding RNA. RefSeq lists it as uncharacterized. The record is from RefSeq and is a predicted model, not a curated record. Lineage: Eukaryota; Viridiplantae; Streptophyta; Magnoliopsida; Myrtales; Myrtaceae. The transcript is spliced from 2 exons.